GAUGAACGCUGGCGGCGUGCCUAAUACAUGCAAGUCGAGCGAACAGACGAGGAGCUUGCUCCUCUGACGUUAGCGGCGGACGGGUGAGUAACACGUGGAUAACCUACCUAUAAGACUGGGAUAACUUCGGGAAACCGGAGCUAAUACCGGAUAAUAUAUUGAACCGCAUGGUUCAAUAGUGAAAGACGGUUUUGCUGUCACUUAUAGAUGGAUCCGCGCCGCAUUAGCUAGUUGGUAAGGUAACGGCUUACCAAGGCGACGAUGCGUAGCCGACCUGAGAGGGUGAUCGGCCACACUGGAACUGAGACACGGUCCAGACUCCUACGGGAGGCAGCAGUAGGGAAUCUUCCGCAAUGGGCGAAAACUUGACGGAGCAACGCCGCGUGAGUGAUGAAGGUCUUCGGAUCGUAAAACUCUGUUAUUAGGGAAGAACAAAUGUGUAAGUAACUAUGCACGUCUUGACGGUACCUAAUCAGAAAGCCACGGCUAACUACGUG
RNAcentral lists this ribosomal RNA (497 nucleotides) under uncultured bacterium. RNAcentral's name for it is "partial 16S ribosomal RNA". It matches the Rfam family "Bacterial small subunit ribosomal RNA", at positions 28 to 507 of the family's 1533-position model. The record is from RNAcentral.